This 329-nucleotide ribosomal RNA is filed under the name uncultured eukaryote. RNAcentral's name for it is "partial 18S ribosomal RNA". It matches the Rfam family "Eukaryotic small subunit ribosomal RNA", at positions 1470 to 1796 of the family's 1831-position model. The record is from RNAcentral.
CCCUUAGAUGUUCUGGGCCGCACGCGCGCUACACUGAUGCAUUCAACGAGUCUAAAACCUGCUCUGAUAGGGGUGGGUAAUCUUUUGAAUGUGCAUCGUGAUUGGGAUAGAUGAUUGCAAUUUUUCAUCUUCAACGAGGAAUGCCUAGUAAACGCAAGUCAUCAGCUUGCAUUGAUUACGUCCCUGCCCUUUGUACACACCGCCCGUCGCUCCUACCGAUUGAAUGAUCCGAUGAAUAUCAUGGAUUGAGGAUUAUAGCAGGUUCGCCUGUCUUGAUCUUCGAGAAGUGAAGUAAAUCUUAUCAUUUAGAGGAAGGAAAAGUCGUAACA